GACGAACCGUGCGAACGUUGUUCGGAAUAACUGGGCUUAAAGGGCGCGUAGGCGGGCUGACAAGUCUGGGGUGAAAUCCCGCGGCUCAACCGUGGAACUGCCUUAGAUACUGUCGGCCUCGAGAGAGGUAGGGGCGUGCGGAACUGUAGGUGGAGCGGUGAAAUGCGUUGAUAUCUACAGGAACUCCGGUGGCGAAAGCGGCGCGCUGGACCUCUUCUGACGCUGAGGCGCGAAAGCUAGGGGAGCAAACGGG
Molecule: ribosomal RNA, 253 nt
Filed under: uncultured bacterium
Lineage: Bacteria
Description: partial 16S ribosomal RNA
Rfam family: Bacterial small subunit ribosomal RNA
Source: RNAcentral